UGGGGAAUCUUGGACAAUGGGGGCAACCCUGAUCCAGCAAUGCCGCGUGGGUGAAGAAGGCCUUCGGGUUGUAAAGCCCUUUCGGCAGGGAAGAAAUCGGCGGGGCGAAUAACCCUGCUGGAUGACGGUACCUGCAGAAGAAGCACCGGCUAACUACGUGCCAGCAGCCGCGGUAAUACGUAGGGUGCGAGCGUUAAUCGGAUUUACUGGGCGUAAAGCGUGCGCAGGCGGCCCGUUAAGACAGGUGUGAAAUCCCUGGGCUCAACCUAGGAAUUGCGCUUGUGACUGGCGGGCUCGAGUACGGUAGAGGGGGGUGGAAUUCCUGGUGUAGCAGUGAAAUGCGUAGAGAUCAGGAGGAACACCGAUGGCGAAGGCAGCCCCCUGGGCCUGUACUGACGCUCAUGCACGAAAGCAUGGGGAGCAAACAGGAUUAGAUACCCUGGUA
RNAcentral lists this ribosomal RNA (445 nucleotides) under uncultured bacterium. RNAcentral's name for it is "bacterial SSU rRNA". It matches the Rfam family "Bacterial small subunit ribosomal RNA", at positions 355 to 792 of the family's 1533-position model. The record is from RNAcentral.